Molecule: long non-coding RNA, 493 nt
Filed under: Heterocephalus glaber (naked mole-rat)
Lineage: Eukaryota; Metazoa; Chordata; Mammalia; Rodentia; Bathyergidae
Description: lncRNA (ENSHGLG00100036266.1)
Source: RNAcentral
CCUCAGUGUGAAGGCUCUGAGUUCAAUCCCCAGUACCACACACAGAAAAGAAGAAACAAAAAAGAAGAGAAAGACAGAGGAAACAAGGGGCAGCCUUGGACACUCAGCAGGGAUAGGAGCGCCUAUUCAGCAUCUGCACAGACAACAGUUGGCCUGAGUAACUGAAAAAGACGUGACGUGAAGAGUGCAUUUUCACGGAGAACGAAGGCAGCCCACGGGCAGGAUGAAGAGGAGGUGGGGCCAGAGGCAGCCCCAAGGGCACAGUUAUGGACACUCUCGCAAGAAGGGCAGGAAGGCAGAUUUCUGUGGCAGCUGCAUAUCAAGGACCUUGCGCUUUCGAGGCAGGCAGUGGAACCCCUGAGCUAAAUCCCCGGCCCUGGUAUUUACUUCAAAAUAAUGUCCAGAACAGCGUGAGACAGGUGAAGGUACAGAGGAAACAAGCUUGGCGGUGAGUUGGUAAGGCAACUAGUGACCAUAUGGGGGUUCAGUAGGC